CGGAUCGGAGUCUGCAACCCGACUCCGUGAAGCUGGAUUCGCUAGUAAUCGCGCAUCAGCCAUGGCACGGUGAAUACGUUCCCGGGCCUUGUACACACCGCCCGUCAAGCCAUGGGAGCCGGGGGUGCUUGAAGUGCGUCGCCGCAAGGCGCGCCCUAGAGCAAAACCGGUGACUGGGGCUAAGUCGUAACAAGGUAGC
Molecule: ribosomal RNA, 199 nt
Filed under: uncultured bacterium
Lineage: Bacteria
Description: partial 16S ribosomal RNA
Rfam family: Bacterial small subunit ribosomal RNA
Source: RNAcentral